Molecule: microRNA precursor, 72 nt
Filed under: Mytilus galloprovincialis (Mediterranean mussel)
Lineage: Eukaryota; Metazoa; Mollusca; Bivalvia; Mytilida; Mytilidae
Rfam family: mir-8/mir-141/mir-200 microRNA precursor family
About the family: The bounds of the precursors are predicted based on conservation and base pairing and are not generally known.
Source: RNAcentral
UCUGGUGCCAUCUUACCUAGCAGCAUUAGAUGUGGAUAUGUUUUAAUACUGUCAGGUAAAGAUGUCGACAGA